AGACGGAAGUGGAGCGAGGACAAAAUGGCUGCGAAGGUGUACCGGCCCUCAUCACUGGGCUUCAGAGGUUCAAUCUGCAAGGAGGCAUCUCCUGCCAGGAAAUUGGAAGCAAAGGCCACUCGGCCCUUCUGUUCCUCAGUCAAGUUAUUGUAGACAUGACGACUGGAGUAAGUGAUCACCUGUGGGAUAGACCGAGGCAGAGUCAAGCAGCGUAACUCUCAGCCUGCCUUUCCUGAUGGUGUGAAGAAGAGGAAAGGGAGUACUCCCAGUGGCACAAAGUAGUCAAGCCUGGGGCUGAGAGUCCAAGAGACCUCUGUUCUAAAUAAAAGUUAAAAAUACAGUACAUUUGCACCUAGGCCUUGCCUCUCCUUCCAAAAAUAAUAACACUUCAUGUUUGUGUAGCAUUUUAGUUAUAAAGUAUUAUAUUAAAUGCUCAGAACCACUCCAUCUUACAGGUAAGGAAUUUGAAGUUUGACUUACAUACUGAAGUUCACACAGCUAAGUCAAGGAAAGGAGGAAACCAUGCAAGUGUACAGCUAUGCAUGUAUUAAGCAUAGACUUAUGAAAGGAAAAGAAACCUCGGGACCCCUCGGGAAGCCAAAGGGAAGGUCGAGCUUGGAACGAUGUCGGCAAACCUGCCUCCCAUUCUUUUUUUUUUUUUUUUUUAAGUAUUUGAGAGACUUCUAUGAGACAGGACUGUUUCCUUGGUUUUAUUUAUUUAUUUAUUUAUUUUUGAGACAGUCUCGCUCCGUCACCCAGGCUGAAGUGCAGUGGCACAAUCUUGGCUCACUGUAACCUCCGCUUCCUGGGUUCAAGCAGUUCUCCUGCCUCAGCCUCCUGAGUAGCUGGGAUUACAGGUGUACACCACCAUGCCCGGCUAACUUUUGUAUUAUUGGUAGAGACAGGGUUUCGCCAUGUUGGCCAGGCUGGUCUUGAACUCUUGGCCUCAGGUGAUCCACCCUCCUUGGCCUCCCAAAGUGCUGGGAUUACAGACAUGAGCCACCACGCCUGGCCUGCCUUCCAUUCUAUUCCUGAAUAAGAAAUAAGAUAGCUACAAAGAUAAAAAAAAAAAAAAAAAAAAAGCUUACAGUACUCCUGCACAAUUUGCCCACAAGGUGACUGCUUGUGGACAAAGGACAGACAGAACUCAC
RNAcentral lists this long non-coding RNA (1151 nucleotides) under Homo sapiens (human). Its description in RNAcentral is "HSALNT0365477". The record is from RNAcentral. Lineage: Eukaryota; Metazoa; Chordata; Mammalia; Primates; Hominidae.